This 492-nucleotide ribosomal RNA is filed under the name uncultured bacterium. Its description in RNAcentral is "partial 16S ribosomal RNA". It matches the Rfam family "Bacterial small subunit ribosomal RNA", at positions 29 to 507 of the family's 1533-position model. The record is from RNAcentral.
AGUGAACGCUGGCGGUAGGCCUAACACAUGCAAGUCGAACGGCCGCACAGUAAGAGCUUGCUCUUACGGGUGGCGAGUGGCGGACGGGUGAGGAAUACAUAGGAAUCUAAUUUUUCGUGGGGGAUUACGGAAGGAAACUUACGCUAAUACAGAACAUGUUCAACGGGUGAAAUCAGCGGAUCUUGGCACCCUUCGCGUUUGAAUUAGCUGAAGCCGGAUUAGCUAGUUGGCAGGGUAAAGGCCCACCAAGGCGACGAUACGUAGCUGGUCUGAGAGGAUGAUCAGCCACACUGGAACUGAGACACGGUCCAGACUCCUACGGGAGGCAGCAGUGGGGAAUAUUGCACAAUGGGCGCAAGCCUGAUCCAGCCAUACCGCGUGAGUGAAGAAGGCCUUCGGAUCGUAAAGCUCUGUUAUUAGGAAAGAAAAGCAGUAGGUGAAUACCCCACUGUUCUGACGGUACCCAAAGAAUAAGCACCGGCUAACUUCGUG